This 198-nucleotide small RNA is filed under the name Homo sapiens (human). RNAcentral describes it as "Boymaw". Lineage: Eukaryota; Metazoa; Chordata; Mammalia; Primates; Hominidae. The record is from RNAcentral.
ACUAGCCCGGGCCACGAUAGGUCGGACUACAGCUGGUAGCAACUGGGGGUCGGAAGUGGAGCCCAGACAACAGCGGAGGAGAAAUUUCCGGGGCAGAAAAUGAAGGUGUCCGAGAGACUGACAAUUCUCUUCUGACUUCCUCAGUGCUAACUGGCUUUGGGUAUCUCCUGCAGCAAAGUGGCCGCCCCGCCCUCUCAU